GUUACAGAUCAACUUUGACAACUAUGAGGCAAUUGUGUCUUUUGUGAACGUACGAAAUUCUCACUGGAAGUUUCUGUACAUCAAUCCUGCACAAAGCAGCGUUUAUUUGGUGGACCCAUUUCCCAUAUCCACAGAGCUGGCAGACUCCAACAAUGCUGCAAAAAGAUUCAGUGAGUACUUCAAGAUGAUGGUGUGACUGGGUGGAUACCAAAUGGAAGGGAGCUGUUAUGGAACACCCAAUGCAGCAAGAUUGCAGUAGCUGGUGGUAAUCAUG
Molecule: long non-coding RNA, 274 nt
Organism: Cyclopterus lumpus (lumpfish)
Lineage: Eukaryota; Metazoa; Chordata; Actinopteri; Perciformes; Cyclopteridae
Exons: 3
Source: RefSeq, a predicted model, not a curated record